Molecule: ribosomal RNA, 396 nt
Filed under: uncultured bacterium
Lineage: Bacteria
Description: bacterial SSU rRNA
Rfam family: Bacterial small subunit ribosomal RNA
Source: RNAcentral
CAGGAUUCGACAUGCCCUCUUUGGACUCCCGAAAAGGAGUCCUUCAUUUAGUUGGGAGGAGCACAGGUGCUGCAUGGCUGUCGUCAGCUCGUGUCGUGAGAUGUUGGGUUAAGUCCCGCAACGAGCGCAACCCUCGUCCUCUGUUGCUAACAGGUUAGGCUGAGCACUCUGAGGAAACUGCCGGUGAUAAGCCGGAGGAAGGUGGGGAUGACGUCAAGUCCUCAUGGCCCUUACAUCCUGGGCUACACACGUGUUACAAUGGUGGUGACAAUGGGCAGCGAAGCCGCGAGGCGGAGCUAAUCUCCAAAAGCCACCUCAGUUCGGAUUGUACUCUGCAACUCGAGUACAUGAAGCUGGAAUCGCUAGUAAUCGUGGAUCAGCACGCCACGGUGAAUA